Molecule: ribosomal RNA, 72 nt
Filed under: Lacticaseibacillus paracasei
Lineage: Bacteria; Bacillati; Bacillota; Bacilli; Lactobacillales; Lactobacillaceae
Also listed under: 8 other names
Description: Lactobacillus paracasei partial 16S ribosomal RNA
Rfam family: Bacterial small subunit ribosomal RNA (bases 1-64)
Source: RNAcentral
AAUGAUUAGGGUGAAGUCGUAACAAGGUAGCCGUAGGAGAACCUGCGGCUGGAUCACCUCCUUUCUAAGGAA